RNAcentral lists this transfer RNA (1315 nucleotides) under Capra hircus (goat). Its description in RNAcentral is "lncRNA (ENSCHIG00010005599.1)". The record is from RNAcentral. Lineage: Eukaryota; Metazoa; Chordata; Mammalia; Artiodactyla; Bovidae.
CCAAUUUAUGAUUCAAUCAAUACGCUCUCAUUCGGUGGAUAUAACGUCUGCCACACGGAGACAGAACAUUUCCCUGUGGCCCUGGAGGCAUCAGGUAUGUGUACAUCUGGGUGAGUAUUUUAUCCACAUUGCUAAUAAGCUUCAUUUCUUUUUCACAAAAAACACAGUCACAGAAGUGAGUGAUCUAGCUCUCCAUGGCCUCCUCUGGAACUAAGGGAGGACUCUUACCCCUCAAGGAUACAGAGACCUGAGCACGGAUGGUGGGGCUCCCAUCAUAAAUAGUUCUUGAAAUUCCCAUGACUUUGACCUUGAGACUGAAAACAUUCUGGAAAUGAAGUAGCUCUUUUUUCAAUGGAAAUAUCUCUGUUGGCUGAUAGUUGAGUAUUGAGAGUUUAGGCCAAAAAAAAAAAGAAAAAGAGCUAGUACAAUUUUGAGCACAGAAGUCACAAAAGUACCAGGACUGCCAAGAGAAUAUUUCUUAGUCCAUAGAAGUAUGAAAAAUUUUUAACAGUGUCCAAAUAAGGAAUAUUAUCAUUAUGCAGAGAGGAAAAAAAUUCCUUACUGAAAGGUGGAGGGAAAGCUCAUAGAUCUAAGAUUUCUUUUUAAAGCAGACUUACUAAUUCUUCCUGUUCUGAGCUGUUCAGCUUUAUAUAGAUUAUUGACUUGCUCCUGUGGGAAGGUCUGUGACUGCUGAGCUUUGCAGCUCACGCAUGUGUCAAGGACAGUGACAUCAUCUUUUUUUUUUAUUAUUAUUUUUGGUGGUGUCACAUAUCUCUUGGGGCCUUAGUUCCCCAACCAGGGAUUGAAAUUGGCUCCUGGCAGUGAAAGCGCCAAGUCCUAACUACUGGACCUCCAGGGAAUUCCCGAGAGCUCAAGUUCUAUUUCCCUAAAACAGAGCUGGAUGACAUGAGUCUCUGUCCUGGGCCAGAAAUGGUCAUCAGGCACUCCUCCUGUGUGACUUUUCAUCUCCUGUGGGCUAGUAAGUACAGGUGGGGUCUCUCCCUGGAAUUCUCAAGACCUCACUACAAGCCUCCUUUUUGGGAUAAUGACAUCAGCUCUGUCUCUCACAGGACCUGUGGAGGCCGGGAUAGACAAGAUACAAGAUACGAGGUCACAGUGACAAGGAGAGAGAAACACAAAAGAACACAAACUACCUGAACUUUCUAGGUGGUCCAGUGGUUAAGAACCAGCCUGCCAAUGCAGAGGACGUGGGUUUGAUCCCUGGGUUGGGAAGAUUCCACACGUCAUGGGGUAAUUAAGCCCAUGCACCACAGCUGCUGAGUCUGCACGCUAGAGCCUGUGGACCACAAGAGAA